CUCUUUAAGAGUUAAUUUAAAGUAAAACCUGCUCCAUGCAAUUAUAAAUAGCCGCAGUCAUACUGUGCUAAGGUAGCAUAAUCAUUAGCUUUCUAAUUAAAAGAUAGAAUGAAUGGUUCAACGAAAUAAAAACUGUUUCUUUCAUUUAAAAGUGAAAUUAAAAAAGAAGUUAAAAUUCUUCUAUAAAAAAGAAAGACGAUAAGACCCUAUAAACUUACAUUAAUUAGCUGGGGCGGCUAGAUAAAAAUACCUUAAUUUUAUAUUUUUAAACAAAACAAACAAAGAUUAUAGAGAACAGUUACUUUAGGGAUAACAGCGCUACUUUUUUCCAAAGAUCUCAUAAAAAAUGAUACUACGACCUCGAUGUUGAAUUAUGUACCCUCAACAAAGCAAAAAUUUUAAUAGGUAGUCUGUUCGACUAUUAAACACAU
This 431-nucleotide ribosomal RNA is filed under the name Mesabolivar sp. Br14-4. Its description in RNAcentral is "partial 16S ribosomal RNA". The record is from RNAcentral. Lineage: Eukaryota; Metazoa; Arthropoda; Arachnida; Araneae; Pholcidae.